Molecule: long non-coding RNA, 520 nt
Organism: Lepus europaeus (European hare)
Lineage: Eukaryota; Metazoa; Chordata; Mammalia; Lagomorpha; Leporidae
Exons: 3
Source: RefSeq, a predicted model, not a curated record
GGGGAUUAGCGUCUGCGUCUCGUAGAAGCAGGCGGACCGGAGACCCCCAAGACCCUCCCGCGGCCGUGUUAGCGCAGUCCUGACGCCCUCCGGGCCUCGGUGGGCGUAGCCUCUCUCCUGCCUCCUUCCCCGGCUUCCCCUGGCAGGAACCAGUGGCUGUGGCUGCUGCGGGGCUCAGGGUACAGUGAGACCUGUUGCACCCCUCACCGGCCUUGGACUUCCCUGCGGGAGUUUUCUGCCCUGCGGCCACAAAGGCCUUGAGGCCUGUCUUCACUGACCGUGACGCCUGUGCUGGGAGAGCAAGGGCCAGAGCUCUGGGGUUCAUGGCCGACUGGGACUCACUUCCAGAAGGACCAGCGGCCGCCACUGCCCACUUUUGUGAAUUCCGGCCCAGAGGACUGUGGGUGGCGAAUAUUUGUUGAAAGAUUCACCACAAUAGGUCAAGUCUAUCCUGGAUUCCUCUAAGCUGAAGAGGAAGAGGAGGAAGAGGAAGAGGAAGAAGAACUGGAUCUAAAAACAG